Long non-coding RNA from Spodoptera frugiperda (fall armyworm), 362 nucleotides. RefSeq lists it as uncharacterized. The record is from RefSeq and is a predicted model, not a curated record. The transcript is spliced from 3 exons. NCBI's taxonomy places the organism in Eukaryota, Metazoa, Arthropoda, Insecta, Lepidoptera, Noctuidae.
CGCUGACACUUGUGCUUCGUGCAGUUUUUAUUCAGUGUCCAUUUAUCUCAAUAUUCUUUGUAUUGGUGACGAUCACAAUGGGUGAUCUUGCCGCAAUCGCCGUGAAUCUUAUCGGAGGCAUCGUGCUGUACGGUACGGGUGGACUCCUGCUCCCUAUCGUGUCGCCGUUGUUGGGUUUCAGUAGCGCUGGCAUCGCUGCUGGCUCACUGGCUGCGACUGCGCAGGCCUACUACGGUAACCUGGCCGCCGGCUCCAUUAUAUCGCAGCUUACAGCUGCAGCUAUGGUUGCCCCCACACCUUAAACUUUCACAACAUUCACAAUGUUUCAGUGAACAUGUGAAAUAAAGGUGAAAUACAAUGGA